GAGGGUUUCUCUCUUGUCUUGCGCCGCGGCUAGCUACCUCUCGACGCCGCGCGAUCCUGUUGAUUCCCCGGUUUCCUCCGCGAUUCGAGAUGGGGGAUGGGGCAGAGACUGGCGGCGGUGAUGGCGCGACCACGGCGGCGAGGGCGGGGGCGCCGCGGAGGGAUAUACGUCGGUACAAAUGCGAGUUCUGCGGCGUGGUUCGGUCCAAGAAGAGUUUGAUCCGCGCCCAUGUCCUCCAGAGCCACAAGGAUGAAGUGGAUGGUCUGGAGGAUUACCAGGAAGGAGGAAAAUGUGCUUCGCGCAAGGAGGUCAGCCAUGACUGCAAAGAGUGUGGCAUGAGGUUCAAGAAGCCGGCCCAUCUGAAGCAGCACAUGCAGAGCCAUUCACUCGAGUCUAUUUGUUCAGACAUGGAUGUGUGAAGCAUUGGAUCCCAAAGAACUCCAAAAUGCGAGAUGGGCUUGAAUGGACUAGUAUCGGGAUGGGGAGACCCUCCUGAGAAGCUCCAUCAAGAGUGCCUCUUUCACGCUAUUCUUCAGACUACCAAGUGAGAUAUAAAAGCGUGAAGCAUUGGAUCCCAAAGAACUCCAAAAUGCGAUAAGGUCUUGAAUGGACUAGUAUCAGGAUCGGGAGACUGUUCUGAGAAGCUCCAUCAAGAGUGCCUUAUUCACACGCUUCUUCAGAGACCCUUUGUUUGCCAUGUAGAUGGUUGUCCCUUAAGUUAUAGCAGAAAGGACCAUUUGAACAGACAUCUACUUACUCAUCAAGGGAAACUAUUUGUGUGCCCCAUCGAAGGAUGCGACUGUAAGUUCAAUAUCAAGGGUAAUAUGCAGAGACAUGUCCAGGAAAUCCAUAAAGAUGGUUCUCCUUGUGAAAGCAAGAAGGAAUUCAUUUGUCCGGAGGUUAACUGUGGGAAGACUUUCAAAUAUGCUUCCAAGUUAAAAAAGCACGAAGAAUCACAUGUCAAACUGGACUGCACAGAGGUUAUCUGCUGUGAACCAGGCUGCAUGAAAACUUUUACAAAUGUGGAAUGCCUCAAAGCACAUAACCAAUCCUGCCAUCAACAUGUUCAGUGUGAUGUCUGUGGUACUAAACAACUAAAGAGGAAUUUUAAGCGUCAUCGCCAAAUGCAUGAAGGCUCCUGCAUUACUGAAAGGGUCAAAUGCCGCUUUGAUGACUGCAAAUGUUCAUUUUCAAAGAAAUCCAAUUUGGAGAAGCAUGUUAAGGCGGUCCAUGAGCAGCGCCGACCUUUCGUUUGCCAAUUCUCUGGGUGUGGCAAGAAGUUUUCUUACAAGCAUGUAAGGGACAUCCAUGAGAAGUCUAGUGCUCAUGUGCACACUGAGGGUGAUUUUGUUGAGGCGGAUGAACAGCGACUGCGUUCAGCAGGGGGGCGAAAGAGAAAGCCCGUAUCUGUCGAGACUUUCAUGCGGAAGAGGGUAGCUGCUCCUGAUGAUGCACCUGCUCAUGUUGAUGGAACUGAGUAUCUGAGAUGGCUUCUCUCCGGUUGAUCCGUCCAGGACCCGAAGGGAGAAGAGACGCAAUCACGCAAGAUAUUUUGGGCAUUCAAUUGAAAUAUCUGUAAUUUACUUUGCAUGUAUAGGCAGAGGAAAGCAACAUGUUAGAUAUUUAUAUAGGAUUCAGACAUGGUAGGGAUUAUUAGAUCCUCAAUAUAAAUACAAUAUGCCAUACUAGAAUUUGAGGCGCAAGAGUAGCAGAUCGUUAUCAUUUUAUCAUGUAUGUUUAAAUGCUUCAACCUUCAGCACAGCUUGGAAACAUGUUCGAUGCAAAUUCCUGUGA
Molecule: RNA transcript, 1794 nt
Organism: Panicum virgatum (switchgrass)
Lineage: Eukaryota; Viridiplantae; Streptophyta; Magnoliopsida; Poales; Poaceae
Gene name: transcription factor IIIA-like
Exons: 9
Source: RefSeq, a predicted model, not a curated record